AUUGAACGCUGGCGGCAUGCCUUACACAUGCAAGUCGAACGGCAGCACGGGAGCAAUCCUGGUGGCGAUUGGCGAACGGGUGAGUAAUAUACCGGAACGUGCCCAGUCGUGGGGGAUAACGUAGCGAAAGCUACGCUAAUACCGCAUACGAUCUAUGGAUGAAAGCGGGGGAUCGCAAGACCUCGCGCGAUUGGAGCGGCCGAUAUCAGAUUAGGUAGUUGGUGGGGUAAAGGCUCACCAAGCCGACGAUCUGUAGCUGGUCUGAGAGGACGACCAGCCACACUGGGACUGAGACACGGCCCAGACUCCUACGGGAGGCAGAAGUGGGGAAUUUUGGACAAUGGGCGCAAGCCUGAUCCAGCAAUGCCGCGUGCAGGAUGAAGGCCUUCGGGUUGUAAACUGCUUUUGUACGGAGCGAAAAGGCUCUCUCUAAUACAGGGGGCUCAUGACGGUACCGUAAGAAUAAGCACCGGCUAACUACGUGCCAGCAGCCGCCGUAA
RNAcentral lists this ribosomal RNA (500 nucleotides) under uncultured bacterium. RNAcentral's name for it is "partial 16S ribosomal RNA". It matches the Rfam family "Bacterial small subunit ribosomal RNA", at positions 30 to 523 of the family's 1533-position model. The record is from RNAcentral.